This is a long non-coding RNA of Sinocyclocheilus rhinocerous, 86 nucleotides long. RefSeq lists it as uncharacterized. Lineage: Eukaryota; Metazoa; Chordata; Actinopteri; Cypriniformes; Cyprinidae. The record is from RefSeq and is a predicted model, not a curated record. The transcript has 3 exons.
GGCUCUUCAUCAUGCUUUACCUGUGGCCACAUUUGAGGAAACUGAAUUUUAUUACAAAUGGAGGAGCAUUCCGGAUAUAAACGAAG